This 608-nucleotide long non-coding RNA is filed under the name Coffea arabica (coffee). RNAcentral describes it as "long non-coding RNA (CARA_LNC007645)". Lineage: Eukaryota; Viridiplantae; Streptophyta; Magnoliopsida; Gentianales; Rubiaceae. The record is from RNAcentral.
CGAAUGGCAGCAACUAUGGCAACCCUUAAUGCCAACUGCUUGAGCCCCAACACCCACAGAGUUAUCAACACUUUGAAACCAAAGCCGGUAUCCCUUCUGUCCAUGCAAAACCUCCCAAAAGGCCUCCUCACAACAUCAAGAAAAGCACCAGACUCAAUCUUGUCCAAUCCGCUAACCGGAACAGCCCUUGCUGGCGCAAUUUUCUCAACCUUGAGCUCAUGUGAUGCUGCCUUUGCAGCUCAACAAAUCGCCGAAAUUGCAGAAGGCGAUAACCGUGGUCUGGCACUUCUCCUCCCAAUUCUGCCAGCCAUAGCUUGGGUGCUCUACAACAUCCUCCAACCAGCACUCAAUCAGUUCAACCAAAUGAGGAGUUCAAAAGGGGUCAUCAUAGGCCUUGGCCUGGGAGGUUUGGCUGCAUCAGGGUUCAUCCACACACCUCAGGCAUCAGCUGCUAGUGAGAUUGCAGCCAUAGCUGAAGCAACCGGUGACAACAGGGGUCAGCUUUUGCUGUUUGUUAUUGCUCCUGCAAUUAUUUGGGUGCUCUACAACAUCUUGCAGCCAGCUUUGAAUCAGAUCGACAGGAUGAGAUCUUAGUAUUCCCGUUGGGG